CCCAGCUAUAGGCAACUGUCUAUAUUGCCUUGUAUCUUGGUAAGUGUUACACUGCUGGGAGAAAAGCAGUCAGCAGCUGGUGGACAUU
Molecule: small nucleolar RNA, 88 nt
Filed under: Ochotona princeps (American pika)
Lineage: Eukaryota; Metazoa; Chordata; Mammalia; Lagomorpha; Ochotonidae
Description: Small nucleolar RNA SNORA74 (ENSOPRG00000022328.1)
Source: RNAcentral